Molecule: ribosomal RNA, 302 nt
Filed under: uncultured bacterium
Lineage: Bacteria
Description: partial 16S ribosomal RNA
Rfam family: Bacterial small subunit ribosomal RNA
Source: RNAcentral
GCAGUCGCCGCGGGAAUACGUAGGUGGCGAGCGUUGUCCGGAAUCAUUGGGCGUAAAGGGAGCGCAGGCGGGCAUGUAAGUCUUUCUUAAAAGUUCGGGGCUCAACCCCGUGAUGGGAAAGAAACUACAUGUCUUGAGUACAGGAGAGGAAAGCGGAACUCCCAGUGUAGCGGUGAAAUGCGUAGAUAUUGGGAGGAACACCAGUGGCGAAGGCGGCUUUCUGGACUGCAACUGACGCUGAGGCUUGAAAGCCAGGGGAGCGAACGGGAUUAGAGACCCCCGUAGUCCCUGUCUCUUAUACA